CGGGCUGCAGCAGUAAGGAAUAUUGGUCAAUGGACGCAAGUCUGAACCAGCCAUGCCGCGUGAAGGAUUAAGGUCCUCUGGAUUGUAAACUUCUUUUAUUUGGGACGAAAAAUGGCCUUUCUAGGUCAACUGACGGUACCAGAUGAAUAAGCACCGGCUAACUCCGUGCCAGCAGCCGCGGUAAUACGGAGGGUGCAAGCGUUAUCCGGAUUCACUGGGUUUAAAGGGUGCGUAGGCGGGUAGGUAAGUCAGUGGUGAAAUCCUGGAGCUCAACUUCAGAACUGCCAUUGAUACUAUUUAUCUUGAAUAUUGUGGAGGUAAGCGGAAUAUGUCAUGUAGCGGUGAAAUGCUUAGAUAUGACAUAGAACACCUAUUGCGAAGGCAGCUUACUACGCAUAUAUUGACGCUGAGGCACGAAAGCGUGGGGAUCAAACAGGAUUAGAUACCCCUGU
RNAcentral lists this ribosomal RNA (452 nucleotides) under uncultured Sediminibacterium sp. RNAcentral describes it as "bacterial SSU rRNA". It matches the Rfam family "Bacterial small subunit ribosomal RNA", at positions 342 to 791 of the family's 1533-position model. The record is from RNAcentral. Lineage: Bacteria; Pseudomonadati; Bacteroidota; Chitinophagia; Chitinophagales; Chitinophagaceae.